Molecule: unclassified non-coding RNA, 300 nt
Filed under: Eurotiales sp.
Lineage: Eukaryota; Fungi; Ascomycota; Eurotiomycetes; Eurotiales
Description: partial contains 5.8S ribosomal RNA, internal transcribed spacer 2, and large subunit ribosomal RNA
Rfam family: 5.8S ribosomal RNA (bases 1-71)
Source: RNAcentral
GUGAGUCAUCGAAUCUUUGAACGCACAUUGCGCCCUCUGGUAUUCCGGAGGGCAUGCCUGUCCGAGCGUCAUUGCUGUACCUCAAGCCCGGCUUGUGUGUUGGGCCUACCGUUCCUUUGGACGGUGACCCAAAAGGCAGUGGCGGCGUCGCGUCCCGGUCCUUGAAGCGUAUGGGGCUUUGUCACCCGCUUAGAGGCCGGCCGACCCCGUAGCCCAUCGUGGAUCUUCCACAUUUAUUCUGAUGGACCUCGGAUCAGGUAGGGAUACCCGCUGAACUUAAGCAUAUCAAUAAGCGGAGGA